This 749-nucleotide long non-coding RNA is filed under the name Coturnix japonica (Japanese quail). RNAcentral's name for it is "lncRNA (ENSCJPG00005003606.1)". The record is from RNAcentral. Lineage: Eukaryota; Metazoa; Chordata; Aves; Galliformes; Phasianidae.
UCAGCACAGUGCAAGUGUUCUCCUGGAAAUAACAUCAUACUGCCAGCCUCUUCGUUCUGCCAGCAGCUGUUCCUUCAGGGCUGUGUUUCUGGGAAAGGCAGACAUGCUAACCAGCAGCAGCAACCAUCUGUAUUCCAUGCAGCGGGACUUCAGGGAUUGCAGCCCUUGACGAAGUUCACUACCAGAUUUAAUCUGGGAACUGUGUGGCUGCAGAUAAAACACGAGAAAAUGCACGGCUCUCCUUGUGAAAAAAUUGCAGUUCAGAAGUCGCUAUUUCUACUCUCUGAGAUGCUUCACUGGUAUGUUGCUGAUGGUCAGGGGCUGCUUCUACAUGAGACAUCUCUAAGACAAGCUGAGAUGAUGGUCUUCCCUUUCCAGGAACUGCUUCGUAGGUUGUAACACUAGCCUGGCUGCGCAAAAGGAUGAAAUGAAGUUACUGGACAAAAAAAGUAAUGAAUAACCCCAAGAGGACAGUGAUUUCAAAGGCAGCAUAGUGUUACACAAAAACCUUUCACCAGAUCAAAUAUGGGUAAUAAUGACAACUGGACAAAAGGAAUACAAAACACUGUGCAAAUGUAUCCUGUACAGAUGAUACCUGCCUCUGACUGGUACCAGGGAGGUUUGCUUCUCUCUUACUCUGGCUGAAGCCAUCACUGAGUCUGUCGAGUCUAAAUGUAUUCAUUUCAAGCUAUUGUAAUUUGAUUCUUCACAUGUUUGUGAAAAUAAAAAUUAUUACUGCAUUUUGGGGA